RNAcentral lists this ribosomal RNA (429 nucleotides) under Bacteroidota bacterium. RNAcentral's name for it is "Bacteroidetes bacterium partial 16S ribosomal RNA". It matches the Rfam family "Bacterial small subunit ribosomal RNA", at positions 355 to 776 of the family's 1533-position model. Lineage: Bacteria; Pseudomonadati; Bacteroidota. The record is from RNAcentral.
UAGGGAAUCUUCGGCAAUGGGGGGAACCCUGACCGAGCAACGCCGCGUGAGUGAAGAAGGUUUUCGGAUCGUAAAGCUCUGUUGUUAAGGAAGAACGAGUGUGAGAAUGGAAAGUUCAUGCUGUGACGGUACUUAACCAGAAAGGGACGGCUAACUACGUGCCAGCAGCCGCGGUAAUACGUAGGUCCCGAGCGUUGUCCGGAUUUAUUGGGCGUAAAGCGAGCGCAGGCGGUUAGAAAAGUCUGAAGUGAAAGGCAGUGGCUCAACCAUUGUAGGCUUUGGAAACUGUUUAACUUGAGUGCAGAAGGGGAGAGAGGAAUUCCAUGUGUAGCGGUGAAAUGCGUAGAUAUAUGGAGGAACACCGGUGGCGAAAGCGGCUCUCUGGUCUGUAACUGACGCUGAGGCUCGAAAGCGUGGGGAGCGAACAGG